This is a long non-coding RNA of Cyprinus carpio (common carp), 1204 nucleotides long. The record is from Ensembl. Lineage: Eukaryota; Metazoa; Chordata; Actinopteri; Cypriniformes; Cyprinidae.
AAUGGAUAUGUGACAUAACUUAAAAUAUCUUUAAAAUUCGACAUAAAGUUUGAAGAAAAAACUAAAUUAAUUUUAAGUCAUGACAUUACAUUGAUGAUUUAUUAUUAAUAGACUAUGUUGUGUCAUCCUAAAGAAUGUUAAUAGCAAACUUUUGAAACCAUAUUUUUAUGUUUUAUGCAAAUGAUGCCACAUGCUCAACCCAAGCCAAAAGAGUCCAUUGCCAGGUCUUAGUGAUAUUCUGGUCUCUAGAUAUGGUCCGGCUUCCUCCUUCAAUAUAAUCCAAAGGCCUUGAUGUACCAUUGCCCUGUUGGAUGUCUGCUGACUAAUGUACCAGUAAAUGAUAAAAUAAGUAAGAGGGGGUGGCACAAGUCAAGUGGAACUUAAUUACCUCUGACAAGAGUUUUUGAGGGGGAAAAAAGGAUACCAGAUCACACACAUUGGGAUUGUGUGACAACAAUGACCAGCGCUCUAGAAGUAAAGCAAUCCCCCUCCAGAAAAACAUGUUUGCGUGUGACCGAGGCAAGUAAAAGGCGGUCUCCAGGGCCUUCCAUACAGCAAGCGUCCCAUGUUCCUCCUGGGGGUCCGAGCGCUGUGUGCAUCUGGAAGAGAUAUUUGGCUGAGCACCGAGCAGAGGAGCAGCCAACAAGAAGCAGGUCCAACAACAUGCCUCUCAGCACGAGCGGGAAGUCUAAUUUUCACAUCUGCUCAAGUUCCUGCUGAGUUGAGCAACUGCGGUGAGUAACUGGUGACUCAAAGAAGUGCUGAAGUUCAGCACAGAAAGCUUAAAAGCUAUAUUUCUACUGUCAUGUUUCGAAUCCUGGCAAUGAGUAAUGAUGGGACAUCCUUUAAGAUCUUUGUCUUCAGCUAUGACCAUUUAAUAUAUUUUAAAAUGCAGUUUAUUCCAGUGAUCAAAGCUGAAUUUUCAGAAUGGUUACUCCAGUCUUCAGUGUCACAUGAUCCUUUAGAAAUCAAUCUUGUUUGCUGAAUUUGCUGCUCAAGAAAAAUUUAUUAUUUUUUUAUCCAUGUUGACAACCAUUGUUCAGCGUAAUAUUUUUGUGUAAACGGUGAUACUUUUUUUCAGGAUUCUUUGAUAAAGUUCAAAAGAACAGCAGUUAUUUGAAAUAUAAAUCUUUUGAAACAUUAUUAAUGUCUUGGUGAUCCAUUUAAUGCAUUCUUGCUUAAUAAAAAUAUCAAUUUCUUCCCA